GAUGAAGAACGUAGCGAAAUGCGAUAAGUAAUGUGAAUUGCAGAAUUCAGUGAAUCAUCGAAUCUUUGAACGCACAUUGCGCCCGCCAGUAUUCUGGCGGGCAUGCCUGUUCGAGCGUCAUUUCAACCAUCAAGCCCCCGGCUUGUGUUGGGGACCUGCGGCUGCCGCAGGCCCUGAAAAGCAGUGGCGGGCUCGCUGUCACACCGAGCGUAGUAGCAUACAUCUCGCUCUGGGCGUGCUGCGGGUUCCGGCCGUUAAACCACCUUCAUAACCCAAGGUUGACCUCGGAUCAGGUAGGAAGACCCGCUGAACUUAAGCAUAUCAAUAAGAGGAGGA
RNAcentral lists this unclassified non-coding RNA (336 nucleotides) under soil metagenome. RNAcentral describes it as "partial contains 5.8S ribosomal RNA, internal transcribed spacer 2, and large subunit ribosomal RNA". The stretch from base 1 to 120 matches the Rfam family "5.8S ribosomal RNA", at positions 35 to 154 of the family's 154-position model. The record is from RNAcentral.